Molecule: long non-coding RNA, 3140 nt
Organism: Leptopilina boulardi
Lineage: Eukaryota; Metazoa; Arthropoda; Insecta; Hymenoptera; Figitidae
Exons: 5
Source: RefSeq, a predicted model, not a curated record
UUUAUUAAUGAAACAAGUAGUUCACAGACAUAAUUGUGUAAAUUGAGGUAAAAAACAUAAAUGAUGUGGACUAUUUUCCAAGAUAUUAAAUUGAAAUGUUGACACUAUUAUUAAACAACAAGAAUAAUUCAAUAAUUUUCAGGUCAGAAAAGAGUUAUUCAACCAGAAAGAAAAAGAAGAAAACUUGAUUUUCUUGUUGAUGUAUCCGUGAUUAGUAAUAAAAAUUACAGGAAAAUAAUAAUAAUAAAAGAUAUAAAUAUAUAUACAAGAAAUUGGAAAUAUUUUAAUUCAAAUCUAUUAUCUAAUAUUUUUCCGAAAAAAUAAUCAACUUUCACCAUUCAUUUUUGCAAGAGAGGCCAAAAAUGAAAGAGUGAAUUUUUCUCUUCUUUCGAAUCAAACUCACAACUGGUCUGUAAUCGACUGGAACUAACAAACAUAUACAAUUGUAUCACUUUGUUGGUUCAACUUGUCAAACCAGUUCUCGAUUCCACUUUUUAAUUUCUCCGUAAUGAUCAUGAAAGCUUUAAGGAAGAAAGAAAAAAUAUACUGAACGUCGAUGGAAAAAUUGGCUUAAGACUUAAGCACUGAUACUGACUAGGUAAAUGAAAUUACUAUGUAACCCACUUUCUUUUGAAUCACAUUGGCUUUUGUACACAAUAUAGAAGCCAAGGCGAACACGUGAAGACGUGAGUACACACAGUACCUUAAAGAAUCUAAAAUAUAUCGAAAUAGAUGAAUAUGGCUCUAGACUAUCUAUCUUUUCACGUUGAAUGGAAGGAUAGGGUAAACAUUUCAAAAUGAAUCUCGAAAUUGCGAAGAAGAAACUUGAGAACGUCUCUGUGUCUCUCUCUUAAAAAGCAGUAUUGCUUGUCAUUCAGCUUAGGCUUUAUUUUCAAGUAUGGAAUUACUUUCACUAAAAAAAAAGAGUGGGCACGCACGAGACCAUCAAUAUCUUUUUUUUUGAGAGAGAAAAGUUGUCCGCCACAAUAGAAUAUAGGCAACAUUAAAUUGAAAAAGGAGGCCUUCAGUUGCAGCUUUUUGAGCUAAUGCUUUCUUUGUUGGGACACGAUGUAUUCUCUGGAGUAUAAAUCCUGACAAUGAGACACAAGCUCAUUCCGUUAGCCGGAUGACGAUAUCAUCAUGUUUGACGAACACAUGCGGGUUAAAAGGCGCGCGGAAAUGUUCACUCAAAUAUAAAUCUAUCAUCAUUAUUUUUGAAUUCUAGUUUGGAUGGUAUUCAUUAUGAAAAUUUAAUGAAAAAGUUUCUACGAUAGAGAGUAAAUAAAAAUUAAUUAACAAAAAUAAGAAACACAAAUGCUGUGGUGACUUGCAAAUGAUUAGAUUCUAAUGAACCAUCAUUCUGCGCGCCUCCCAGGAAGACUUUAAUGAAACUAUUGCCAUCAAGGCUUUUCUACAUCUACAGACCAUGACCUAAUUAAAUUUGUUACCUCAUUGAUUGAAAUCAGAAUUUGAGAGAUGAAUUCAUAUAUGUACAAUAUAAAUAACGAGUAACGAAGAAGAAGAAGAAGAAGAGGAAUAAUCAGAGAAAGAAAUAAUAAUAGAAAAAGAAAUAAGAAAAAAAAAUUUCAUCCUUUUUCUUCUUUCUAUUAUCUCUUCGGAAAUUUUAAUUCAAGCGUAACAAAUAAACUUACAGAUGAAAAUAAAAUAAAAAAAAAAAAUAAAAAAUUAUGUUUUGAACGAUGCGAUUAUCUGCUGUAAAUUGGUGAUGCGUUUUAUAUAUAUAUAUAUAUAUAUAUAUGGUGAGAGGUCUACAUACGCGAAAGGUACCGCGAGGGCAAGUGACCAGGAAAGAGAAUAAAAAAAGGACAAAGAAUUAUGGAGGUAGAGCAACUGAGAAAGAACCUCUGGGAAAUGGCUUAACAACAUUUCAAGAUCUCUAACCGUCUCUUCCGUGUUUUUACAAUAUGCUACUACAUUUACAUUUUGAAUAAAGCUUUGCGUUUACAAUUUUUUACAUCAUACCGAAGAAGCUCCCAUUCGUCCACAAUAGAACAAGAAAAACAAUUUGGAAAAUUUCUCUCACCAGUCUCAUUUAAAUGGGAUCAUUUUCAAAAAAAAAAAAAGCCAAAUGACAAAUUAGUUGAGAGAACACCGUGACAUUUUACAAUUAGAAUUCGUCCCCCUUUUGAGGUCUACAAUGGUAUUCGACAUUUGUAUAUAGUUAGAUAGAGUAGAUAAUAAUAAAAGCCAGCAACAUGUGCGCCCGCUACUCUACAAUAUUCGCUUCGUUACUACAGAAACUAUAUCGCUCUAUUUUGCUCUCUAUAAUAUUAUGUAUAUACAAAUAUUUCUGAUUUGAAAUUUCAAUUUGAAAAUUUUCAAGAAAUUCAUAGGCCACAAAAAUGCUUACACAAAUGUUGAUGGUUAAAUGUUUUACUCGAACUCAGAGAACGUAAAAACGGCGCAUUUGUGCGAAAACUUUUAUUACACGAGUGAAUGUCGUCGUUGACGACGGGCAAAGAACCCUUUGAAUUGCGCAAAAAAAAAAAAGAGGGGUUGUAAAUUAAAAUGCAGUUUGAUGAAAAUCUUGAAGCGAGCUUAAAAACAAAAGAUAACACUGUCUCAAGUUUCUGACUCGAAAUCUCGAGAAAAAAAGAAGAACCAAAAAAUUAAUUAUUUUACUUGACACUCAAAUUUGAUUUAUUUUUUAAAAAAUAAAUCGUCACAUUUAAAAGGAAGAUAAUUUUAUAAUUAAUCUGAUGCAUAUCGCUUCAUAUUAAAUUCAUAAAUAUAAAAGAGGUCACUUAUAAAAUUAUCACUCAUAAUGGAAAUUAAAAUAACAACUUUAAAUGUUUCAUGAACAAAAGAAUCGUUCUUCUUUAAAUCUAAAUUAAUUAAUAAUUAAUAAUUAAAAAUUGUAAAAUGAUUGAAAAAAAAUUGUGAAAAAUGUAUUUUUUGUAAUUAUUAUAAAUAGAAAAAGACAAACAGAGAGUUUAAAAUAGUUAUAAAUUGAUAAUAAUUCGUGAGAUUGUGAUCAUCACAUUACUGUCAAUCAGUGGUUUGAAUGGACCUGAGAACUUUUUUCACUAUAAUCACAUCUGAUAAAACGACGUGUGAGACUCGACUCUAAAAUUACAAGUAUGAGAAUCCAUUGUUGAAUAAUAAUAAAUUUCAUACAA